RNAcentral lists this ribosomal RNA (468 nucleotides) under uncultured bacterium. RNAcentral describes it as "partial 16S ribosomal RNA". It matches the Rfam family "Bacterial small subunit ribosomal RNA", at positions 28 to 507 of the family's 1533-position model. The record is from RNAcentral.
GACGAACGCUGGCGGCGUGCUUAACACAUGCAAGUCGAACGGAAAGGCCCUGCUUUUGUGGGGUGCUCGAGUGGCGAACGGGUGAGUAACACGUGAGUAACCUGCCCUUGACUUUGGGAUAACUUCAGGAAACUGGGGCUAAUACCGGAUAGGAGCUCCUGCUGCAUGGUGGGGGUUGGAAAGUUUCGGCGGUUGGGGAUGGACUCGCGGCUUAUCAGCUUGUUGGUGGGGUAGUGGCUUACCAAGGCUUUGACGGGUAGCCGGCCUGAGAGGGUGACCGGCCACAUUGGGACUGAGAUACGGCCCAGACUCCUACGGGAGGCAGCAGUGGGGAAUAUUGCACAAUGGGCGGAAGCCUGAUUCAGCAACGCCGCGUGCGGGAUGACGGCCUUCGGGUUGUAAACCGCUUUCGCCUGUGACGAAGCGUGAGUGACGGUAAUGGGUAAAGAAGCACCGGCUAACUACGUG